UACAGAGGGUGCGAGCGUUAAUCGGAUUUACUGGGCGUAAAGGGCGCGUAGGCGGCGUGACAAGUCACUUGUGAAAUCUCCGGGCUUAACCCGGAGCGGCCAAGUGAUACUGUCGUGCUAGAGUGCGGAAGGGGCUACUGGAAUUCUCGGUGUAGCGGUGAAAUGCGUAGAUAUCGAGAGGAACACCUGCGGCGAAGGCGGGUAGCUGGGCCGACACUGACACUGAGGCGCGAAAGCCAGGGGAGCGAACGGG
RNAcentral lists this ribosomal RNA (253 nucleotides) under uncultured bacterium. RNAcentral's name for it is "partial 16S ribosomal RNA". It matches the Rfam family "Bacterial small subunit ribosomal RNA", at positions 524 to 776 of the family's 1533-position model. The record is from RNAcentral.